This 464-nucleotide ribosomal RNA is filed under the name uncultured bacterium. RNAcentral describes it as "partial 16S ribosomal RNA". It matches the Rfam family "Bacterial small subunit ribosomal RNA", at positions 338 to 795 of the family's 1533-position model. The record is from RNAcentral.
CCUACGGGAGGCAGCAGUAGGGAAUUUUCGUCAAUGGGCGCAAGCCUGAACGAGCAAUGCCGCGUGAACGAGGAAGGUCUUCGGAUCGUAAAGUUCUGUUGAAGGGGAAAAAGAGCGGAGAGAGGAAAUGGUCUCCGAUUGAUAUUACCCUUCGAGGAAGCCACGGCUAACUACAUGCCAGCAGCCGCGGUAAUACGUAGGUGGCGAGCGUUAUCCGGAAUGAUUGGGCGUAAAGGGUUCGUAGGCGGCCUGCUAAGUCGGAGGUGAAAGGUAGCGGUUCAACCGGGACAGGCUCUGGAAACUGGCGGGCUAGAGAGCAGGAGAGGGCGGUGGAACUCCAGGUGUAGCGGUAAAAUGCGUAGAUAUAUGGAAGAACACCAGUGGCGAAGGCGGCCGCCUGGCCUGUUACUGACGCUGAGGUACGAAAGCGUGGGGAGCAAAUAGGAUUAGAUACCCGGGUAGUC